Molecule: ribosomal RNA, 253 nt
Filed under: uncultured bacterium
Lineage: Bacteria
Description: partial 16S ribosomal RNA
Rfam family: Bacterial small subunit ribosomal RNA
Source: RNAcentral
UACGUAGGGUCCGAGCGUUGUCCGGAAUUACUGGGCGUAAAGAGCUCGUAGGUGGUUUGUCGCGUUGUCCGUGAAAACUCACAGCUCAACUGUGGGCGUGCGGGCGAUACGGGCAGACUGGAGUACUGCAGGGGAGACUGGAAUUCCUGGUGUAGCGGUGGAAUGCGCAGAUAUCAGGAGGAACACCGGUGGCGAAGGCGGGUCUCUGGGCAGUAACUGACGCUGAGGCACGAAAGCGUGGGGAGCAAACAGG